Molecule: small nucleolar RNA, 108 nt
Organism: Hibiscus syriacus
Lineage: Eukaryota; Viridiplantae; Streptophyta; Magnoliopsida; Malvales; Malvaceae
Source: RefSeq, a predicted model, not a curated record
AGGAUAUGAUGAGGGAAAACUAGCGCAUAAUCGCUUGAACCUCUCCUAAUAUUCGUACAAAGUCUCACCAGUGAGCUGCAUAAUGUCAUAGAUUUCUUUUCUGAUGUU